GCUCCCUUAGCUCAAUUGGCAGAGCAACUGACUCUUAAUCAGUAGGUUCAUGGUUCGAGUCCAUGAGGGAGCA
Molecule: transfer RNA, 73 nt
Filed under: Pirellula sp.
Lineage: Bacteria; Pseudomonadati; Planctomycetota; Planctomycetia; Pirellulales; Pirellulaceae
Also listed under: 9 other names
Description: tRNA-Lys
Rfam family: tRNA
About the family: Transfer RNA (tRNA) molecules are approximately 80 nucleotides in length. Their secondary structure includes four short double-helical elements and three loops (D, anti-codon, and T loops). Further hydrogen bonds mediate the characteristic L-shaped molecular structure. tRNAs have two regions of fundamental functional importance: the anti-codon, which is responsible for specific mRNA codon recognition, and the 3' end, to which the tRNAs corresponding amino acid is attached (by aminoacyl-tRNA synthetases). tRNAs cope with the degeneracy of the genetic code in two manners: having more than one tRNA (with a specific anti-codon) for a particular amino acid; and 'wobble' base-pairing, i.e. permitting non-standard base-pairing at the 3rd anti-codon position.
Source: RNAcentral